UCCGGUUGAUCCCGCCGGAGAUUACCGUUAUCAGGAUUCGACUUAACCAUGCGAGGCGCGAGCUCUCUGGGCUCGCCGAACUGCUCAGUAACACGUAGCCAACAUACCCUCAAGUAGAGGAUAAUCAUGCGAAAGUGUGGCUAAUACUCUAUAGUUGUUGAAUGCUGGAAUGCUUUAACAGUUAAAGCUGAGGCGCUUGAGGAUUGGGUUGCGGCCUAUCAUGGCUGUUGUGAGUGUAAAGUACUCACAAACCUAUAAUGGGUAGGGGUCAUGAAAGUGGGAGCCUCGAGAUGCCUUCUGAGACAUGAAGGCAGGUCCUACGGGACGCAGCAGGUGCGAAAACUUUCCAAUUCCUGAAAGGGUGAGAAGGGAAUCCUGAAUGGUUAUGCAAUGCAUAACCUUUUACCUUGCUUAAAAAGCAAGAUGAAUAAGUGGUGGGUAAGACGGGUGGCAGCCGCCGCGGUAAUACCCGCGCCACAAAUGGUAAUCAUUUUUAUUUGGUCUAAAGGGUCCGUAGCCGGUUCAACAAGUUCUUAGAGAAAUCUACUAGCUAACUAGUAGGCUUUCUGAGAAUACUAUUGAACUUGGGAUUGGGAUAGGAUAGAGGUAUUCCUUGUGUAGGGGUU
RNAcentral lists this ribosomal RNA (626 nucleotides) under uncultured archaeon. RNAcentral describes it as "bacterial SSU rRNA". It matches the Rfam family "Archaeal small subunit ribosomal RNA", at positions 1 to 634 of the family's 1478-position model. The record is from RNAcentral.